ACGGGAGGCAGCAGUGAGGAAUAUUGGUCAAUGGGCGGAAGCCUGAACCAGCCAUGCCGCGUGAAGGAAUAAGGCCCUAUGGGUCGUAAACUUCUUUUGAGCGGGAGCAAUAAGGCGUACGUGUACGCCGAUGAGAGUACCGUUCGAAUAAGCAUCGGCUAACUCCGUGCCAGCAGCCGCGGUAAUACGGAGGAUGCAAGCGUUAUCCGGAUUCAUUGGGUUUAAAGGGUGCGCAGGCGGCGGGUUAAGUCAGCGGUGAAAUGCAGGGGCCCAACCCCGGCAGUGCCGUUGAUACUGGCGCGCUGGAAUGCGGUCGAGGCGGGCGGAAUGUGGCGUGUAGCGGUGAAAUGCAUAGAUAUGCCACAGAACUCCGAUAGCGAAGGCAGCUCGCCAGGCCUGCAUUGACGCUCAGGCACGAAAGCGUGGGGAUCGAACAGGAUUAGAUACCCUGGUA
RNAcentral lists this ribosomal RNA (454 nucleotides) under uncultured bacterium. RNAcentral's name for it is "partial 16S ribosomal RNA". It matches the Rfam family "Bacterial small subunit ribosomal RNA", at positions 341 to 792 of the family's 1533-position model. The record is from RNAcentral.